This 760-nucleotide ribosomal RNA is filed under the name Ilisha pristigastroides (Javan ilisha). RNAcentral describes it as "partial 16S ribosomal RNA". The stretch from base 1 to 509 matches the Rfam family "Bacterial large subunit ribosomal RNA", at positions 593 to 1301 of the family's 2925-position model. The record is from RNAcentral. Lineage: Eukaryota; Metazoa; Chordata; Actinopteri; Clupeiformes; Pristigasteridae.
CAAAACUCGUACCUUUUGCAUCAUGAUCUAGCCAGCACCCCCAAGCAAAGAGAACUCCAGUUUGAAACCCCGAAACCUCCAACGAGCUACCUCGAGGCCGCCUAAAAUAGGGCAAACCCGUCUCUGUGGCAAAAGAGUGGGAAGACCUCCGGGUAGAGGUGAAAAGCCUACCGAGUUAGGUUAUAGCUGGUUGCUCAGAAAAUGAAUAGUAGUUCAGCCCCAUAAGCCCCUCUAGCCAACUAUUACAACCCUAAAGGCAAUAAUUGAGCCACCUAUGGGAGUUAGUUAAGGGAGGUACAGCUCCCCUAACAAAGGAUACAACCUUAUAUAGAAGGCUAAGGAAUAUAUUACACCAAAGGCCUAAAAGUUUUAGUAGGCCUAAAAGCAGCCAUCCAAACAGAAAGCGUUAAAGCUUAAACCCAAUCAAGCCUAUCAUCCCAUUCAACCCUCCAAUGCCCCUAUUUUACUACUGAGCCAUUUUAUGCCCACAUAAAAGAGACCAUGCUAGAACAAGUAAUAAGAAGAACGAACUUCUCCUCGCACAUGUGUAAGUCGAACCGGACUAGCCAUCGAUGAUUAACGAACCCAAAAAACAGAGGGCCCCACACAACCGUCACCCAAACCAAGAAAACCACGUCUCACAUAAUCGUUACCCCCACACAGGAGUGCACACCCCAAAGGAAAGACCAAAAGGAUAAAAAGGAACUCGGCAAACCAAAACCCCGCCUGUUUACCAAAAACAUCGCCUCCUGCCACUAAU